Molecule: ribosomal RNA, 506 nt
Filed under: uncultured beta proteobacterium
Lineage: Bacteria; Pseudomonadati; Pseudomonadota; Betaproteobacteria
Description: bacterial SSU rRNA
Rfam family: Bacterial small subunit ribosomal RNA
Source: RNAcentral
CCCCUUGAGAGUGGCGAACGGGUGAGUAAUAUAUCGGAACGUGCCCAGUCGUGGGGGAUAACGUAGUGAAAAUUACGCUAAUACCGCAUACGAUCUAAGGAUGAAAGCGGGGGAUCGCAAGACCUCGCGCGACUGGAGCGGCCGAUAUCAGAUUAGGUAGUUGGUAGGGUAAAGGCCUACCAAGCCAACGAUCUGCAGCUGGUCUGAGAGGACGACCAGCCACACUGGAACUGAGACACGGUCCAGACUCCUACGGGAGGCAGCAGUGGGGAAUUUUGGACAAUGGGCGAAAGCCUGAUCCAGCCAUUCCGCGUGCAGGAUGAAGGCCCUCGGGUUGUAAACUGCUUUUGUACAGAACGAAAAGGUUUCUAUUAAUACUAGGAGCUCAUGACGGUACUGUAAGAAUAAGCACCGGCUAACUACGUGCCAGCAGCCGCGGUAAUACGUAGGGUGCAAGCGUUAAUCGGAAUUACUGGGCGUAAAGCGUGCGCAGGCGGUUAUAUAAG